RNAcentral lists this non-coding RNA (26 nucleotides) under Mus musculus (house mouse). The record is from RNAcentral. Lineage: Eukaryota; Metazoa; Chordata; Mammalia; Rodentia; Muridae.
UGUACUACAUGGAAGUUCUUUCCCCU